RNAcentral lists this ribosomal RNA (406 nucleotides) under Odontotermes horni. RNAcentral describes it as "partial 16S ribosomal RNA". Lineage: Eukaryota; Metazoa; Arthropoda; Insecta; Blattodea; Termitidae. The record is from RNAcentral.
ACAAAAACAUCUUUUCUUGUUAGUUUCUGAAGUAUGGCCUGCCCGCUGACGUAUUUUGAGUUGAAGGGCCGCGGUAUUUUGACCGUGCAAAGGUAGCAUAGUCAUUAGUUCUUUAAUUGUGAUCUGGUAUGAAUGGCUUGACGAGACAUGGGCUGUCUUGGGUGUGAAUUUGUUGUUGAAUUUGGAGUUUAAGUUAAAAUUCUUAGAUGUUUUUAUGGGACGAGAAGACCCUAUAGAGUUUGACAUUUGAUUGCGUAUUUCUUGUUGUUUGUUUUGAAUUUUUGUGCAUCUCUUGUUUUGUUGGGGUGAUGGGAGGAAUUUAUUUAACUCCUCUUUUAUGUGGUAUAUUGAUUUGUAAUUGUUUUGAUCCAUUUAUUUUGAUUGUAAGAUUAAAUUACCUUAGGGA